CCUACGGGGGGCAGCAGUGGGGAAUAUUGGACAAUGGGGGGAACCCUGAUCCAGCCAUGCCGCGUGUGUGAAGAAGGCCCUCGGGUUGUAAAGCACUUUCAGUGAGGAAGAACGCCUGUUGGUUAAUACCCAUCAGGAAAGACAUCACUCACAGAAGAAGCACCGGCUAACUCCGUGCCAGCAGCCGCGGUAAUACGGAGGGUGCGAGCGUUAAUCGGAAUUACUGGGCGUAAAGCGCGCGUAGGUGGCUUGAUAAGCCGGUUGUGAAAGCCCCGGGCUCAACCUGGGAACGGCAUCCGGAACUGUCAAGCUAGAGUGCAGGAGAGGAAGGUAGAAUUCCCGGUGUAGCGGUGAAAUGCGUAGAGAUCGGGAGGAAUACCAGUGGCGAAGGCGGCCUUCUGGACUGACACUGACACUGAGGUGCGAAAGCGUGGGUAGCAAACAGGAUUAGAUACCCGUGUAGUC
RNAcentral lists this ribosomal RNA (465 nucleotides) under Vreelandella stevensii. Its description in RNAcentral is "partial 16S ribosomal RNA". It matches the Rfam family "Bacterial small subunit ribosomal RNA", at positions 338 to 795 of the family's 1533-position model. The record is from RNAcentral. Lineage: Bacteria; Pseudomonadati; Pseudomonadota; Gammaproteobacteria; Oceanospirillales; Halomonadaceae.